CACACGUGACCUCAUCUGAUUUUACGAUCACUUAAUCAAUCAAACCAAGUAGACAAAAAAAAAAUUAAUCAAGUCACGUGCAAGUGCAAUAUCAUCUUCUUCACCUCUUUCAUCUGGACAAUGUUUUGUUCAGAUUUGUAUUUGGGUGGUUUCAAUAGCUCAAAAUAUAUAAUGUAUAAGCUAGGUUAGUACAAGCUACGUAGGUUGUUUAGAUAGAUUAGAUAAAGAUCUUUUUAGUAGCUAGCAACUUAUUUUAUUGAUCUAAACAGGGUCUAAGACAUUGUCUGAGAACAUGCUGGUUCGUAAAAGAAGACAUGUUAUCAGCGACCUAGAGUUCUAACAAAGGGUAUGCUGCACAAUUUUUUUUUAUGCAAUUCGGUAAAAUCAUAUUUGUAUUCGGUAACACCGCUUCCAUUAGAUAACACGAUAAGCCUUAAAUUCAAAGGUUAGCUAAAAACUAUGACAAACUACGAGUUCAAAUGAAAUACAAAUAGUUCAAAGUAUAGCCAUAAAAGAUACUUACAACAAGAUAGGAUGAAAAAAAUUGCAAAAUAAAAGCUGAAAUAGGUUAUUUGUAGUUAUAAUUUCUAGAGGGGAUAAAAAGUUGAAAAAUUAAAAAUAAAGACACAUGAGGUCUCAUGGGAUACAACAAGAGACGAUAAAAAAUACAAAAAACUAAAGGAUGAAGUAUAUUAUCUAUACUUAAUUUUAAAGAGGAUAAAAGAAAAUAGAAAUUUAACUCAUGGGAUACAACAAGAGAGGAUAAGAAUGAAGUAUAUUAUCUAUACUUAAUUUUAAAGGGGAUAAAAUAAAAUGGAAAUUUAAAUUGACAUUGUACAGAACUAUUGAUAAUUAAGUGAUAAUGAAAUGAUGGUGAUUUAUUAACAUGAUGAGUCUUCCAUUCAAAGAUUAAACUGUAAAGUUGCAUAAAUAAACCAAUAUUAAUAAUCCAAAUAUCAUACUAACAAUUCGAAAAACACGGUUAGCUGGUAGAAAAGAAAUUCAAGAAUACAGUAAACCAAGAUGUGAUGCCCGCCGGCGACGUACUACGACGAUGACGGUGUGCAUGACCAUGAGGCACAGCCGACGAAGGAGCCGGAGCUCCUCGAUGGCAAGGACACUCUCGCCCACGCCGUGGUGGGGCUAGCCUGGCAGUGGCAGCCCAGCUGCACGCAGAGUCCACUCUGAUCCGACUCCCCC
Molecule: long non-coding RNA, 1200 nt
Filed under: Sorghum bicolor (sorghum)
Lineage: Eukaryota; Viridiplantae; Streptophyta; Magnoliopsida; Poales; Poaceae
Description: long non-coding RNA (SBIC_LNC011657)
Source: RNAcentral